GAGUUCUGAUGGUGGCCCAGUGAGUCAAUCCUUUAUUUGUAUCAAAUCGUCAUCAAACCCCAGCAUACUAUUAUUCUUGCUAAAGGAAGCAAGUUUUGGUGGACCGGCAAGCGAAGAAUUCCUCGAAUGCAAAUCUUGCCUGCCACAGCCUUCCUUAUUCUUCAUCGUCUCUUUCACAAAGGAAUCAAUUUCUUCUGCUACUUCUCCAAGUCUGGAUAGUUCCACCAAGAAAUAUCAUGAUAGAGCUCCAAGCCCCAGUCAAAUAUAUGAAGCUAGGCCAUCAAAAUCUGGAAGGCAGGAAAUGAUUUUUGAAGUAAAUUGACAGCCACACGGGAGGUAAAAGCAGAAUUUCCCCAACGAAAUUUGAUCUAAAAUGCGGAUUUCGAUUAUGUCUUCAGCCUGAUAAGCUGCAUCUCUAAUUUUUCCCUCCAAACACUCCACAGAUUCACUGCUUUUGGAAGAAUCCUCAAAAAAAUUUAGCAAGAAGCUGAUUUUUUUCCUGAAGAGAUUCAAUUUGUUGCUUGUAAUGAAGAAUCAAGAAUCGAUCAGGAUGCAGGAGUUGCUCUCGAAUCUGAUUAAGAGAAACAAGAGCACAAAAACAAAACUGAAACACAACAAAAGCAGUUGGAUUUCCUCUAGUUACAAUGCCCCUCUUCUCUUUAUCUAAAUUUUCUUCCUCCUCCCCAAUUUUUUCACUUUUGGGAUAUUGAAUUUUGCUGCUGAAAUGUAUUCCUCUCAAACUCUACGCUGAUGGGAAGUGCGUAUUAUUGGUUUAUAAAGAACAUUGUGAGGUCAGUUUUGCCAUGAAUUUGCGAGAGGGUGUGUAUUAAAAAAUUGGAGUUAAUUAAAUGAGUGGCACUGAGCAUUGUUAAUUGGUUUGCUAUUUGCACACUAAAAAUUAAAUGAUUAUCCAAAGCUUGUCGAAACAUUUAUUAAUUUACCCAUCCAUCACCAUAGCCCUUAUCAUCCAUACAGGUGGACAAAUACAUUUACGUGAAAAACUGAUGUGGCAUACAUAAUGGGUUAAUUGUACCACUUCAUCAGAAAUUUUUUAUUUUAUAGAUAACAAAAAAAAUGUUAAAUUAAAAAAUGUUUCUUCCUUAAAUCACUUCUUCUCCCAAAUCACGCCAUUCCUCCUUAGACUUGGAAGCCAAACAAGGUGCCGCCAUGACCACGACUCCACCUCUGAAGCCUCGACGAUGAUUCAACACACAAAAACCCACUCAAAGUUUAGCAACAUUUUAUGAAUUUUAUCAGACCCUAAUUUCAAUAGCAAAUGAAAAAGAUUUGAUAUGGGAAUUGGAAAAAGAAUUAUUGGGGGCUGAUGAAUUCAGUACAACUCUUGAGAAAUUGGUUGAAUUGAGAAUGAAGGUUCUUCAUGAAGCAAAUGGUGAGGAUUUUAGGAUUUGAGAGCCCAAUUGGUGUAAAAUAAUUUAAAAUUUUCGUACCCAGUAUGGAAGUACCCACUAUUGUUCAAGGAGUCUAGCUAAAUGGCCGCUCGUUCCCUCUUCCUCACUCUCACUGGAUACUGCACCCCCCCNNNNNNNNNNNNNNNNNNNNNNNNNNNNNNNNNNNNNNNNNNNNNNNNCCAAAUCAUAUAUGUGUGUAUUCUUCUGGGCUCUUAACAUGUUAUUUUUGUGUGUGUAGAAAUGCACAGAGGGAGGAUAAAAGUUCAUUCCGAUUCUUGCUUUCAACACAUCAAGUUGCCUAUCAAAUUCAAGAUCCCUCCACCGCAAUCCAUGA
This 1743-nucleotide long non-coding RNA is filed under the name Olea europaea (common olive). Its description in RNAcentral is "long non-coding RNA (OEUR_LNC006886)". Lineage: Eukaryota; Viridiplantae; Streptophyta; Magnoliopsida; Lamiales; Oleaceae. The record is from RNAcentral.